CGAGAGAGAACCGGGUUCGUCGCGAAUCCGCGACCGAUCGAGGCGAAACAAAAUGGUGGGUUCGUUGUCUCCGUUGUGCUGAUCGCACUGGCGUGAUCUGUUCGCAAAUCUGACGGACGGAUCUGCGGAUAUCGCGGGUUGUCGAGGAGGGGUCGGUGAUGGCAAAACGGUAAUUUCGCAAAAAGUGCGACAUUUUAUGUGCCGUUUCGUGUGAAAUCGAAGGUGGAGGUGUAUUCGGG
RNAcentral lists this long non-coding RNA (239 nucleotides) under Ananas comosus (pineapple). RNAcentral's name for it is "long non-coding RNA (ACOM_LNC039106)". The record is from RNAcentral. Lineage: Eukaryota; Viridiplantae; Streptophyta; Magnoliopsida; Poales; Bromeliaceae.